RNAcentral lists this ribosomal RNA (195 nucleotides) under uncultured Enterobacterales bacterium. RNAcentral's name for it is "partial 16S ribosomal RNA". It matches the Rfam family "Bacterial small subunit ribosomal RNA", at positions 137 to 334 of the family's 1533-position model. Lineage: Bacteria; Pseudomonadati; Pseudomonadota; Gammaproteobacteria; Enterobacterales. The record is from RNAcentral.
GGGGGAGUAACUACUGGAAACGGUAGCUAAUACCGCAUAACGUCUCCGGACCAAAGUGGGGGACCUUCGGGCCUCACACCAUCGGAUGUGCCCAGAUGGGAUUAGCUUGUAGGUAGGGUAAUGGCUCACCUAGGCGACGAUCCCUAGCUGGUCUGAGAGGAUGACCAGCCACACUGGAACUGAGACACGGUCCAG